GCGCUGUGUUGACUCAGUCGGUAGAACAGGAGACUCUUAAUCUCAAGGUCGUGGGUUCGAGACCCACAAUGGGCA
RNAcentral lists this transfer RNA (75 nucleotides) under Podarcis lilfordi (Lilford's wall lizard). RNAcentral describes it as "tRNA.Lys". It matches the Rfam family "tRNA". Rfam says of the family: Transfer RNA (tRNA) molecules are approximately 80 nucleotides in length. Their secondary structure includes four short double-helical elements and three loops (D, anti-codon, and T loops). Further hydrogen bonds mediate the characteristic L-shaped molecular structure. tRNAs have two regions of fundamental functional importance: the anti-codon, which is responsible for specific mRNA codon recognition, and the 3' end, to which the tRNAs corresponding amino acid is attached (by aminoacyl-tRNA synthetases). tRNAs cope with the degeneracy of the genetic code in two manners: having more than one tRNA (with a specific anti-codon) for a particular amino acid; and 'wobble' base-pairing, i.e. permitting non-standard base-pairing at the 3rd anti-codon position. Lineage: Eukaryota; Metazoa; Chordata; Lepidosauria; Squamata; Lacertidae. The record is from RNAcentral.